RNAcentral lists this microRNA (21 nucleotides) under Medicago truncatula (barrel medic). RNAcentral's name for it is "mtr-miR5741c". Lineage: Eukaryota; Viridiplantae; Streptophyta; Magnoliopsida; Fabales; Fabaceae. The record is from miRBase by way of RNAcentral.
UAGGGACUAAAUUGAUGGUUU